This 1047-nucleotide long non-coding RNA is filed under the name Carassius auratus (goldfish). Its description in RNAcentral is "lncRNA (ENSCARG00000032599.1)". Lineage: Eukaryota; Metazoa; Chordata; Actinopteri; Cypriniformes; Cyprinidae. The record is from RNAcentral.
GAAAUAAACGAGGAGAAGUGAAGAGAGCCGGCCUCCAGUAAGUGUCUGUGUGUUGAUCUCCCAUGAUCCUCUCCUGCUCAGGAACGGACUCCUGUUCUCUGUGAGAACUGCAUUGAAAGAAUGAACUCGGAAGGACGUGAGGACACAGAACACAUCUUUGUGAGAAUUGAGAUGCGCUGUGAUCUUGCUGCUCAGCUGUCAGUUCAGUGCUGUCUAGUUAGGGAGCUCCCUAUGUAGACAGCUGAUCGGACGUUGGAAAAGAUCCAGAGAAAACAUGAUUUAUACGUUUUAUUCAGCAGGCGAUGAGCUGAUGGCCGUAGAUAAGUCCGCUUAUCCUGCGUCCUGCGACCUGCGUCCUGCGACCUGCGUCAUGCGUCAUGCGACCUGCGUCAUGCGACCUGCGUCAUGCGACCUGCGUCUUGCGUCCUGCGUCAUGCGACCUGAGACCUGCUACCUGCGUUAUGCGACCUGUGUCAUGCGUCAUUCGUCCUGCGACCUGCGUCCUGCGACCUGCGUCAUGCGACCUACGACCUGCGUCAUUCGUCCUGCGACCUGCGUCAUGCGACCUGCGUCAUGCGACCUGCGUCAUGCGACCUGCGUCAUGCGACCUACGACCUGCGUCAUUCGUCCUGCGACCUGCGUCAUGCGACCUGCGUCAUGCGACCUACGACCUGCGUCAUGCGACUUGCGUCCUGCGUCAUGCGACCUGCGUCAUGUGUCCUGCGUCCUGCGACCUGCGUCAUGCGACUUACUACCUGCGUCAUGCGACCUACGACCUGCGUCAUGCGACUUGCGUCCUGCGUCAUGCGACCUGCGUCAUGUGUCCUGCAUCCUGCGACCUGCGUCCUGCGACCUGCGUCAUGCGACCUACUACCUGCGUCAUGCGACCUACUACCUGCGUCAUGCGACCUGCGUCCUGCGUCAUGCGUCCUGCGACCUGCGUCCUGCGACCUGCGUCCUGCGACCUGCGUCAUGCGACCUACGUCCUGCGACCUGCGUCAUGCGACCUGCGUCAUGUGUCCUGCGUCCUGCGACCUGCGUCAUGCG